GACGAACGCUGGCGGCGUGCUUAACACAUGCAAGUCGAACGAUGAACCCGGAGCUUGCUCCGGUGGAUUAGUGGCGAACGGGUAAGUAACACGUGAGUAACCUGCCCUUGACUCUGGGAUAACUGCGGGAAACUGUAGCUAAUACCGGAUACGACCCUCGGCGGCAUUGCCAGGGGGUGGAAAGAAUUUCGGUCAAGGAUGGACUCGCGGCCUAUCAGCUAGUUGGUGAGGUAAUGGCUCACCAAGGCGACGACGGGUAGCCGGCCUGAGAGGGUGACCGGCCACACUGGGACUGAGACACGGCCCAGACUCCUACGGGAGGCAGCAGUGGGGAAUAUUGCACAAUGGGCGCAAGCCUGAUGCAGCAACGCCGCGUGAGGGAUGACGGCCUUCGGGUUGUAAACCUCUUUUAGUAGGGAAGAAGCGAAAGUGACGGUACCUGCAGAAAAAGCACCGGCUAACUACGUGCCAGCAGCCGCCGUAA
RNAcentral lists this ribosomal RNA (484 nucleotides) under uncultured bacterium. Its description in RNAcentral is "partial 16S ribosomal RNA". It matches the Rfam family "Bacterial small subunit ribosomal RNA", at positions 28 to 523 of the family's 1533-position model. The record is from RNAcentral.